CUCCCACCCUCCUCAGUUCCGCCGCACCCGCUGGAAGGAAAAAAGAUAUCGAGUCGCCCCCAAAGAAAAUUAAGGGAAAUCUACCAGCCCUAGCACUCUAGCAGAUUUGUGAAGGCUGCUGCCGCCGGAUCCCGUCCCGGUGCUCUUCGCCAACGAAAUCUCCCAGGGAUCCCCUCGCCAUCGUCCAUUCACCUGAAGGCACUAACUCCCCAGCAUUAGACCACUGGCGGCGCGCGAUUCCGAGGAGUCCUGAGGUAAGCAACUGCCGCCAGCCCCCUUCUCUUCCCAUAUCUGAUCUGUGAUUUUCCUGUUUUUAUUUUCUGGCGGAUGUGAGAUCUGUUAGGUAGCUGCCAAAACCAACGUGGCAUGGGGCUGCAAUCUGGACACGGAGGUAUGAAGUUCUUUUCGAGAUUGGAGUGCAAGAACGUUGUAAUAUGAGUUCGCCUGCUAUUCCUUCACUGCAACCUAUUGGUUUGGGACGAUUUGAUUUAGAUUUAGUGGUUACUGGCUGACACAAGCAAAAUAUUGCGGCAUCAAGAAUAACUCCUCGACAUGCUGCAACCGUACAAGGCAGAAUGCGAGCACUCUAUGUUUCUGAACGAGGGUGGUACUAGAUUGAUGUAAUAAAGGAUUACACAUAUAUAGUCAUUUGCAGACACUUGUUAACUGCAUUUUAUAGCCUUUAUCUCUUACAUUGCCACAUAUUAUGCCCCAUCAAACUUUGUAAUGUUAAAAGGUAUUGCUGUUUGCAAUGGUUUUAUGAGCAUUUCUA
This is a long non-coding RNA of Lolium rigidum, 772 nucleotides long. RefSeq lists it as uncharacterized. Lineage: Eukaryota; Viridiplantae; Streptophyta; Magnoliopsida; Poales; Poaceae. The record is from RefSeq and is a predicted model, not a curated record. The transcript has 3 exons.